CAAAUUAUAGUUUAUAAAAAUAUUAAUUUUGGAGAUUAAAGAAAUAAAAUUUAUUAUUAAUUUGA
This 65-nucleotide transfer RNA is filed under the name Pseudoligosita yasumatsui. RNAcentral's name for it is "tRNA-Pro". Lineage: Eukaryota; Metazoa; Arthropoda; Insecta; Hymenoptera; Trichogrammatidae. The record is from RNAcentral.